GGAGGGGUGGCAGAGCGGUCGAAUGCGGCAGCCUUGAAAGCUGUUGACCGGGUUCCCCGGUCCGGGGGUUCGAAUCCCUCCCCCUCCG
This 88-nucleotide transfer RNA is filed under the name Thermoleophilaceae bacterium. RNAcentral's name for it is "tRNA-Ser". It matches the Rfam family "tRNA". From Rfam's summary of the family: Transfer RNA (tRNA) molecules are approximately 80 nucleotides in length. Their secondary structure includes four short double-helical elements and three loops (D, anti-codon, and T loops). Further hydrogen bonds mediate the characteristic L-shaped molecular structure. tRNAs have two regions of fundamental functional importance: the anti-codon, which is responsible for specific mRNA codon recognition, and the 3' end, to which the tRNAs corresponding amino acid is attached (by aminoacyl-tRNA synthetases). tRNAs cope with the degeneracy of the genetic code in two manners: having more than one tRNA (with a specific anti-codon) for a particular amino acid; and 'wobble' base-pairing, i.e. permitting non-standard base-pairing at the 3rd anti-codon position. The record is from RNAcentral. Lineage: Bacteria; Bacillati; Actinomycetota; Thermoleophilia; Thermoleophilales; Thermoleophilaceae.